CAUCAAUUGAGAUGAUCAUAUGAUUUUUAUCCUUGGCUCUAUUGAUAUAGUGUAUUACAUUGAUUGAUUUGUGUAUGCUGAACCAUCCCUGCAUUGCUGGGUUGAAUCCCACUUGGUCAGGGUUUAUGAUCUUCUUGAUGAUCUUCUGCAUUCUGUUUGCCAGUAUCUCAUUAAGGAUUUUUGCAUCUAUGUUCAUUAGUGAGAUUGGUCUAUAGUUUGGUUGGGUCUUUCUCUGCUUUGGGGAUCAAGGUGAUGCUUCCUUCCAGGAAUGAAUUUGGGAGUAUUGCUGCCCUUUCAAUUUCAUUGAAGAGUUUAAACAGUAGUGACAGUAGUUCCUCUCUAAAUGUCUUGUAGAAUUCAGCAGUGAAGCCAUCAGGACCCAGGCUUUUCUUAGUUGGACUGGCAGGAACUGUGGGUGGAUGAUGCCAUCUGGAAGUUGCUGUUCUCCAUGAUAUUCUUUGUCAUCAUGAUUCUCUGGCAACCAUCGACAAAUAACCAAAGGUUCUUGGACUCUUUAUUCUGUUGAGCCUGACAUGUCUAGUCUUUAUUGGGGCUGUUUCAUCCUGCUUGUGUGGCUGACCUUUCAUUUCCAACCCUUCCUGGUGGCCGAGCUAAUGGCUUCAGUCUCCAUUUCUUCCAUGAGAGACUUUUGUUUGUAUUUUCAUUGUAAUUUACAUAGAAAUUUAUUUCUGAUGUUAUCUUGUAGGUUUUACAAGCAAGUAAACAAGCUUAUGUGAAAAUGUUGAUGUCUAUUCUAAGCACCCAUUACAUAUUUGAUAUUUUAUUUUAUUGAUAUCUUAUUUUCCUGCUAAGUACACAUUAUACAAUAUAAUAAGACAUUCCCGACAAAAGAAGAAGACAAGAAAAGUUACAAAAAACAGAUUCACUGAGAGAGAAAUAGGGCAAUCCAUUCCUUUCACAAUAAGGUACAAGAACAGCCUGCCACAUAGGAAAGAAAAGCUAAGCACGUGUGGUAUCAGUGUAAGACUUGUGUAUGGAACAUGCAGUUGUCCUGUUUGAAGGCUGCUGUGGGUGUGACAGUUGAAGUAAAGAUUAUGUUUGUUGUAGAGUUCUUUUGGUAUUUUUAUUGUAGCUCAUAUAAGAAUUUUUUGGGGGUACCAGAAAUCAAACUCAGGACCUUGUGCUUGCCAGACAGGUCCAGAGCUCAUAUAGGAAUUUAUUCCUGUUAUAUUUUAGAUUUUGAUUUUGUGAACAAAUAUUUGAUGUUGAAAAUGAUGUUUAAACUGGUAUACACAAGUCACACUGGAUGCUGGGGUGUGUCUUUCCUUUCCCUGGAGGGACUCAUGAGUGCUGAGAUACAGCUGGGGUACAUGAUGGCGCACACCUGGAAUUCCCCCACUGGGAACCUGAGUUUGAGCCUGGCCUGAGGUACAGUGUGCAUCUGAAAUCUGGAUUACAGAGCAAGAUCCUGUCUCAAAAAGAGUUGUUUAGUGUUUCAGUACAAAGGGAGUAAAAAUCCUGAGCUGUUAUCGGUAUCUUUCAGAGGCAUAAUGAAGGACCCAGGGGGGCUUGUCCUCCUUUGCUCUAGAGACUUAGCAAAGGCUGACAGCCACGCAGAUGGUUAGAAUUAAAGUAACACUGCCCCAGUUUUGGUAUGGCAGAGGUCAUGGAAUGAGUCUGGUGGCAACUGUUCCACCCAUUCUAUUAUGAAGAUGCAGGUCAAACACAUCAAAGGUUCUCUUAGCUGAAAAUGAAGACCCAGCACUCCUUUAGGAAAAUGUUUCAUACCACACACAAAGUCAGAGUUGUUGGAAAGGAGAUUUUAUUUUCUUCUUCCUAUGCUAUGGAAGAACAUUAUGUUCCUGUUUCAUUUCCUCCCUCAAGGAGAAAAAGGAUAGCAGUUCUCUGGGUCUCAGGACUAAGCUGCUCCCACAGGUCCUAGCCAAGACAAGACACGGAGACUGGUGACUGACUCCUAUCUGCCAGCUAGCUGAUCAACCACCACUGAAGGGCAGACAAGUGACUGAAAGGCAAGUUGUAGACUUGGCCUCAGAGACCAACAGUUCAAACCGUGAGGUGAUCAAAAUGAUAAAGUAAACAGCACCCAGGAUGCAGCUGUCCACGGAGCCCGCAUCUCUGCAUUCUGGCCACUUAAGUUAAGCAGUGUCUAAAGGGGCACAGCCUCCCAGCCUGUCACAGGAAUGGUCAACUCCAGGCCCAAGGCUCUCUGACCAUUCUCCUUGGCUUUGACUUUCAAGUGAAAGGGCAGGGUUCUAGCAAAUCCUCCAAGCCAAGCCAGUCCAAGGAAGGUGUACCAUGGCAGAGGCUCUGGACAUACACAGGGAACCCUAUGUACAGAACCCCUCUCAGGGGCUCUUCAGGGCUCUGAAGCUGAACCCUCAUCUGAACCACCUAAGCAGCCAAGUGAAUUACAAGGAGGCAAAGUAGCUCAAUGGAAGUGUGAACAGGUGGAUGGCCAGGGACUAAGACCCAGGAGACAGUAAGUUUCCUCAGCAGAGCUCUUCCAAACAUGAGCUUCAAGGUUUCUUUCCUUUUCAAAAAGUCACAACCAAAAUCCUGCUGUCCUGAACUCGUUUUCUAGGAAUGAGCAACAGGGAAGAACCAAAAUAAACUUGGGAUAAUGAUGAGUGUAUUUUUAGGCUAAGUGUGUGGUUUGCUAAUUGAGAAGGUACCAAAAAGAUCUCCAGACAGAGAAGUGGGAGCACUUGCUAUUCCUUCAGGCAAAAGCGGAGCUACUGAACAGAAAGAGUGGUGAGGCAGCCACUGCAUCUUUCCCAUUUUUUAAAGGGAAGUAUGUGUGACAUGUUGCCUUCUCCAUCCCAGCCUCUCAGAGAACCAGCUGCCUUCCAUAUUUUAUGAGGAAAAUUGUAAACCCACCAGUACCCGGGCUGAGUUCCCACUGCUGCUAGUUCUGAGGACGUAUGAGACAGGGUCUUGCUUGUAGGAUGACAAAGUUACAGUUUGGAUUUUGUGAAGCAUAGUUAAAAGUCAGAGCUGCCCCUAAAGACACAAAAUAAACUUAUUUCCCUUCCUAAAAAAAUGUACAAAAAGAGAAAAUGGUGUUUUAUUUGAAAUGUGCAAUACAUAUUAUGAAUCGAAUGCUUUGUUGAUAUUUUAUGUUCCUGUUUACUACAAAUUGUAUAAUAAGAACCUCCUGACAAAACAGCAAGAUAGCAAGAUGUCUACUAUGUCCUACAAAAAAGAUAGGAAAGCAAAACACAUGUGCUAUCAGUGUAAAUGAUACAUGCAUGCUGUUUUCAUGUGUGAAGACUGCUUUAGGUAUGAUAAUUGAAGUAAAGAUUAUUUUUGUUGUAAAGUUCUAUUGGUAUUUUCAUUAUAAUGAUGGAGCAAUAAUACACAAUAAGAUUGGCCCUUGCCUUUCCCUUGCCUUGCCUCCAUUUUUUUUUUUUUUUCCACAAAAUGUUUUGUCUCAGAAAUGUGACAGUUUGUGCUGCUGGGCAGCAGCUCCUGCCCAAUGUAUCAAAAUGUUUUGUGACUGAAUUAUGUGACCUUUCAGGAAUGUUCUGUUAAAUUCUGCCCCUCUGCUUCAGGAAUGUUCUGUAACUCUGCCCUCCUUGCUUCAGUGUGCAUGCUCACCUAUCCUGUAGAUCCCUAUUUAAGGAGGCUCUCAUUUCUGGUAGAGCGCUCACACUUCAAGUAUGAACUCCUCUGAGCCUGCCAGUGUAAUAAACGUUUUCUCCACCCUCUUCGAGUGACCAUCAGAUUCUAGAGUCUUCAAAUUGAGAGAGCUGGGGUCCAGAUCUGC
RNAcentral lists this long non-coding RNA (3748 nucleotides) under Heterocephalus glaber (naked mole-rat). Its description in RNAcentral is "lncRNA (ENSHGLG00000036370.1)". The record is from RNAcentral. Lineage: Eukaryota; Metazoa; Chordata; Mammalia; Rodentia; Bathyergidae.